RNAcentral lists this long non-coding RNA (332 nucleotides) under Ananas comosus (pineapple). RNAcentral describes it as "long non-coding RNA (ACOM_LNC040441)". Lineage: Eukaryota; Viridiplantae; Streptophyta; Magnoliopsida; Poales; Bromeliaceae. The record is from RNAcentral.
AAUUAUUAUUAUUAUUAUUACUAGCGUAAUAACCUGUGAGAUGCGACGGAUAGAUAAUUAAAGAAAAAAUUUUAAAAAAAACGACAAUAAAAAAAGCGAUAAUGAUUGGAAUUUAUCUUGCUGAUGAACGAAAGUAACAGUCAAAGAAACAGAAAGAUGAAGGACUUAAAAACUGGUUCAGAGUGAAGCCCACAUUCAACCAUAAAAAAAAUGUUGUCAUGUGUCAACUUAAAAAAAAAUAAUGUAUAAAUAAAUAAAUAAAUAAAUAAAUAUAAAAGUAUAGAAAUAUAAAUUAUUAUUAUUAUUAUUAUUAUUAUUAUAAACGGACACGG